UUCAAAAACAUGUCCUUUUGUUUUUAUUUAAGGUCUAACCUGCCCAAUGAUUUAUUUAAUGGCCGCGGUAUUUUAACUGUGCUAAGGUAGCAUAAUCAUUUGUCUUUUAAUUGAAGGCUGGUAUGAAUGGUUGGACGAGGCAUAACCUUUCUUUAAUUUAAUUUAUGAAUUUAAUUUUUUAGUUAAAAAGCUAAAAUUUAUUUGUUGGACGAGAAGACCCUAUAGAUCUUUAUAUUUAGUUGUUCUAAUAAUUUGGUUUAUUUAUUAUUUAGAUUAAUGAAGGUAUUUGGUUGGGGUGACUCUGGAAUUUUAAUAACUUCUGUUUUUAUUUUUCAUUUAUUUAUGUUUAGUUGAUCCAUUAUUAAUGAUUAUAAGAUUAAGUUACCUUAGGGAUAACAGCGUAAUUCUUUCGGAGAGUUCAUAUCGAUGAAGGAGUUUGCGACCUCGAUGUUGGAUUAAAAUAAGUAGUAGAUGCAGUAGUUUACUAACUAGGUCUGUUCGACCUUUUAUUUUUUACAUGAUCUGAGUUC
This 530-nucleotide ribosomal RNA is filed under the name Apiomerus geniculatus. RNAcentral's name for it is "partial 16S ribosomal RNA". It matches the Rfam family "Bacterial large subunit ribosomal RNA", at positions 1806 to 2612 of the family's 2925-position model. Lineage: Eukaryota; Metazoa; Arthropoda; Insecta; Hemiptera; Reduviidae. The record is from RNAcentral.